GCGGGUGAAGUGUUGCGGUGACACACCGGUGCGCCACACCGGGAUCGUCGGGUUCAACUCCCACCACCCGCU
This 72-nucleotide transfer RNA is filed under the name Deltaproteobacteria bacterium. RNAcentral describes it as "tRNA-Gly". Lineage: Bacteria; Pseudomonadati; Myxococcota; Myxococcia. The record is from RNAcentral.